GGAGUUAGCCGGUGCUUCUUCUGUGAGUGAUGUCCUUCCUGCCGGCUAUUAACCCGCAGGCCUUCUUCCUCACUGAAAGUGCUUUACAACCCGAAGGCCUUCUUCACACACGCGGCAUGGCUGGAUCAGGGUUGCCCCCAUUGUCCAAUAUUCCCCACUGCUGCCUCCCGUAGGAGUCUGGGCCGUGUCUCAGUCCCAGUGUGGCUGAUCAUCCUCUCAGACCAGCUACGGAUCGUCGCCUUGGUGAGCCGUUACCUCACCAACCAGCUAAUCCGACAUAGGCUCAUCCGAUAGCGCGAGGCCCGAAGGUCCCCCGCUUUCCCCCGUAGGGCGUAUGCGGUAUUAGCCUGGGUUUCCCCAGGUUAUCCCCCACUACCGGGCAGAUUCCUAUGCAUUACUCACCCGUCCGCCGCUCGCCACCAGGGAGCAAGCUCCCCGUGCUGCCGCUCGACUUGCAUGUGUUAGGCCUGCCGCCAGCGUUCAAUCUGAGCCAUAGACUACAAACUCUAGA
This 511-nucleotide ribosomal RNA is filed under the name uncultured bacterium. RNAcentral's name for it is "partial 16S ribosomal RNA". The record is from RNAcentral.